ACGUAGGUGGCAAGCGUUAUCCGGAAUUAUUGGGUGUAAAGGGUGUGUAGGCGGGAUUGCAAGUCAGACGUGAAAAUUAUGGGCUCAACCCAUAACCUGCGUUUGAAACUGCAGUUCUUGAGAGUGGGAGAGGUAAGUGGAAUUCCCGGUGUAGCGGUGGAAUGCGUAGAUAUCGGGAGGAACACCAGUGGCGAAGGCGACUUACUGGACCACAACUGACGCUGAGACACGAAAGCGUGGGGAGCAAACAG
Molecule: ribosomal RNA, 251 nt
Filed under: uncultured bacterium
Lineage: Bacteria
Description: partial 16S ribosomal RNA
Rfam family: Bacterial small subunit ribosomal RNA
Source: RNAcentral